Molecule: long non-coding RNA, 1340 nt
Organism: Brassica napus (rape)
Lineage: Eukaryota; Viridiplantae; Streptophyta; Magnoliopsida; Brassicales; Brassicaceae
Exons: 2
Source: RefSeq, a predicted model, not a curated record
UUGGACUUUAAUUUAGGCCUUUUACCGUAAACAAAGUCUUCUUGGAGACUGCACCGUCUCUACGAAAACUUGGCAAACCGUAAGUUCUGCUUCUGUUCAACUUACCGAUGAAAAAAAAUCUGGAAACCGUAAGUUCGAAGCGUCACCUUCAAAGGCUUCAUUAACAGUUGUUCUCCACUCCUCACACGACCUAUCAUUGAAUGCAUCUCCCUUUACUUGCUUUCACAGAAUCUUCGACUAUAAAAAGGUUAGGUCACAAAGAAGAUAUGAAGAAAAAAUCCAGGAGGAUAAGGAGGAGUAAUCUGGGUUAAUAGCAACAGUGGUAAAGUGACUUGGAUGUGAAACCUGAGCCAAAUCUGAAGAACCUCACGAGAUUCAAUCAGAGGAAGAGAUUACAAGUGGAAACAGCAAAGCUUGAUCUGAAAUUAAAAGAUGUCUUUAUAAUCUUUCUCCAGACGAUCCAGUCAAAUCCAGUCAAAAAUUUGAAAUUUUCAUUGAUGCUUUAAAGGGCUUGAAGCUAAGGAGAAGAUGAAGAGAUUGAGACAACACAUUAAAAAUUACAACAAAAUCACUGGAAAAUUUGCUAUGCUUGAUGAGAUCAUCAAUGAUGUUCAAUAUCUUCACAGACAAACGCCUUACUUGGUUGGGAGUGAGUAGCCAAUAACCUAACCAACCAACAUAACUAUAAACUCUGAAGCUACUGGGCAACCCAUUGUCUUUGCUUUGCUCUGCUUUGAUAAGUCUAAUCUGACUUGCUUCGUGUCUGUUGAUAAUUUAUAAAAGUUGGUUUCAUAAUAUUCGAAGAUAUUUUUCAUGAAUUCUUUCAGGUACCAGUUGAUAAGAGUUCCUUCUAGAGGCUUUAAGAAACUACAAAUUUGUAUAUUUGACUGAAGACGUUGGGAAGGUUGUGUUUGUUGAUUCAAUGAGUGGCUUAUGACCAGAUUUCAGAACACUUUGAAAGCAAACUCAUUUCCAUCUUUGAGCACAUGGACUUCCUCUUGAUACUCACCGGCUCUCCCCACAAGAAAUCUAACAAUCCAAAAAUCCCAAUGUUCCUCCAAUCUGUCAAACAAAACAAACUAUCCUUCCUACCUUUAAUCGAUACAUUCAUAUUAAUGAAACUUUAAGCUCUUCCUGGAUAUAAUAUCUAACGUGAGCCUUUCUCUUUGCUUCCUUUAUGAGCUUCAAGAUAUUGGAGAACUAUUUGAAACAGUGUAUUCUACGUGAGGAUGCAUGAGCUCAAACUUUAUGUACUCCCCUAGAGCAGCAUGUAACAUGAACUAAGAAAAUGUCUUUUUAUUUUUUGUCUGACAGAUUAAUAAUCUACUUGAUUAACUACA